AUUGAACGCUGGCGGAAUGCUUUACACAUGCAAGUCGAACGGCAGCACGGACUUCGGUCUGGUGGCGAGUGGCGAACGGGUGAGUAAUGUAUCGGAACGUGCCCAGUCGUGGGGGAUAACGUAGUGAAAAUGAAGCUAAUACCGCAUACGAUCUAUGGAUGAAAGCGGGGGAUCGCAAGACCUCGCGCGAUUGGAGCGGCCGAUAUCAGAUUAGGUGGUUGGUGGGGUAAAGGCCUACCAAGCCAACGAUCUGUAGCUGGUCUGAGAGGACGACCAGCCACACUGGAACUGAGACACGGUCCAGACUCCUACGGGAGGCAGCAGUGGGGAAUUUUGGACAAUGGGCGAAAGCCUGAUCCAGCCAUUCCGCGUGCAGGAUGAAGGCCCUCGGGUUGUAAACUGCUUUUGUACAGAACGAAAAGGUUUCUACUAAUACUAGGAGCUCAUGACGGUACUGUAAGAAUAAGCACCGGCUAACUACGUGCCAGCCGCCGCAGUAA
Molecule: ribosomal RNA, 500 nt
Filed under: uncultured bacterium
Lineage: Bacteria
Description: partial 16S ribosomal RNA
Rfam family: Bacterial small subunit ribosomal RNA
Source: RNAcentral